GAUGAACGCUGGCGGCGUGCCUAAUACAUGCAAGUCGAGCGAACAGAUGAGGAGCUUGCUCCUCUGACGUUAGCGGCGGACGGGUGAGUAACACGUGGAUAACCUACCUAUAAGACUGGGAUAACUUCGGGAAACCGGAGCUAAUACCGGAUAAUAUAUUGAACCGCAUGGUUCAAUAGUGAAAGACGGUUUUGCUGUCACUUAUAGAUGGAUCCGCGCCGCAUUAGCUAGUUGGUAAGGUAACGGCUUACCAAGGCGACGAUGCGUAGCCGACCUGAGAGGGUGAUCGGCCACACUGGAACUGAGACACGGUCCAGACUCCUACGGGAGGCAGCAGUAGGGAAUCUUCCGCAAUGGGCGAAAGCCUGACGGAGCAACGCCGCGUGAGUGAUGAAGGUCUUCGGAUCGUAAAACUCUGUUACUAGGGAAGAACAAAUGUGUAAGUAACUAUGCACGUCUUGACGGUACCUAAUCAGAAAGCCACGGCUAACUACGUG
This 497-nucleotide ribosomal RNA is filed under the name uncultured bacterium. Its description in RNAcentral is "partial 16S ribosomal RNA". It matches the Rfam family "Bacterial small subunit ribosomal RNA", at positions 28 to 507 of the family's 1533-position model. The record is from RNAcentral.